RNAcentral lists this ribosomal RNA (465 nucleotides) under Vreelandella stevensii. Its description in RNAcentral is "partial 16S ribosomal RNA". It matches the Rfam family "Bacterial small subunit ribosomal RNA", at positions 338 to 795 of the family's 1533-position model. The record is from RNAcentral. Lineage: Bacteria; Pseudomonadati; Pseudomonadota; Gammaproteobacteria; Oceanospirillales; Halomonadaceae.
CCUACGGGUGGCUGCAGUGGGGAAUAUUGGACAAUGGGCGAAAGCCUGAUCCAGCCAUGCCGCGUGUGUGAAGAAGGCCUUCGGGUUGUAAAGCACUUUCAGUGGGGAAGAAAGCCUUGGGGCUAAUACCCUCGAGGAAGGACAUCACCCACAGAAGAAGCACCGGCUAACUCCGUGCCAGCAGCCGCGGUAAUACGGAGGGUGCGAGCGUUAAUCGGAAUUACUGGGCGUAAAGCGCGCGUAGGCGGUUUGAUAAGCCGGUUGUGAAAGCCCCGGGCUCAACCUGGGAACGGCAUCCGGAACUGGCAGGAUAGAGUGCAGGAGAGGAAGGUAGAAUUCCCGGUGUAGCGGUGAAAUGCGUAGAGAUCGGGAGGAAUAACAGUGGCGAAGGCGGCCUUCUGGACUGACACUGACGCUGAGGUGCGAAAGCGUGGGUAGCAAACAGGAUUAGAUACCCCAGUAGUC